UAGGGAAUCUUCGGCAAUGGGGGCAACCCUGACCGAGCAACGCCGCGUGAGUGAAGAAGGUUUUCGGAUCGUAAAGCUCUGUUGUAAGAGAAGAACGUGUGUGAGAGUGGAAAGUUCACACAGUGACGGUAACUUACCAGAAAGGGACGGCUAACUACGUGCCAGCAGCCGCGGUAAUACGUAGGUCCCGAGCGUUGUCCGGAUUUAUUGGGCGUAAAGCGAGCGCAGGCGGUUUAAUAAGUCUGAAGUUAAAGGCAGUGGCUUAACCAUUGUUCGGUAUGGAAACUGUUAAACUUGAGUGCAGAAGGGGAGAGUGGAAUUCCAUGUGUAGCGGUGAAAUGCGUAGAUAUAUGGAGGAACACCGGUGGCGAAAGCGGCUCUCUGGUCUGUAACUGACGCUGAGGCUCGAAAGCGUGGGGAGCAAACAGG
This 429-nucleotide ribosomal RNA is filed under the name bacterium. RNAcentral's name for it is "partial 16S ribosomal RNA". It matches the Rfam family "Bacterial small subunit ribosomal RNA", at positions 355 to 776 of the family's 1533-position model. The record is from RNAcentral.